GCUGGCCACAGAACCAUGUCCUUUACAACCUACCUGGUCAAUAUUUGUAUCAGUGGCUUGAAUUUAAAAAAAAGAGAGAUAUUGUUACAAGUUCAUUCAUAUCGCAUAUGAAUGUGAUAUGAUGUAUUGGAGGAAAUGUAUUGAAUGACAGAAUACAAAUGCUGUGAAGAGACUUGGACUUUGGUUGUACCAAGUUUUCAUUAACUGAAGAAAUUUUCAACUAAUUAUCAAACUGGGAUUUUUUUUUUCAAACAUUUAUUG
Molecule: long non-coding RNA, 261 nt
Filed under: Pan troglodytes (chimpanzee)
Lineage: Eukaryota; Metazoa; Chordata; Mammalia; Primates; Hominidae
Description: long non-coding RNA NONPTRT005143
Source: RNAcentral